AUUGAACGCUGGCGGCAGGCCUAACACAUGCAAGUCGAACGAGUGGCGGACGGGUGAGUAAUGUCUGGGAAACUGCCCGAUGGAGGGGGAUAACUACUGGAAACGGUAGCUAAUACCGCAUACCAUCGGAUGUGCCCAUAUGGGAUUAGCUAGGAGGUGGGGUAACGGCUCACCUAGGCGACGAUCCCUAGCUGGUCUGAGCGGAUGACCAGCCACACUGGGACUGCGACACGGCCCAGCGUCCUACGGAAGGCAGCAGUGGGGAAUAUUGCACAAUGGUCGCAAGCCUGAUGCAGCCAUGCCGCGUGUAUGAAGAAGGCCUUCGGGUUGUAAAGUACUUUCAGCGAGGAGGCGUUACUCGCAGAAGAAGCACCGGCUAACUCCGUGCCAGCAGCCGCGGUAAUUC
This 406-nucleotide ribosomal RNA is filed under the name uncultured bacterium. RNAcentral's name for it is "partial 16S ribosomal RNA". It matches the Rfam family "Bacterial small subunit ribosomal RNA", at positions 30 to 526 of the family's 1533-position model. The record is from RNAcentral.